Peromyscus californicus insignis is the source of this 1153-nucleotide long non-coding RNA. RefSeq lists it as uncharacterized. The transcript is spliced from 7 exons. The record is from RefSeq and is a predicted model, not a curated record. NCBI's taxonomy places the organism in Eukaryota, Metazoa, Chordata, Mammalia, Rodentia, Cricetidae.
AUAGCAGGGGUCGGGGCGGAUCCCAGGGCUGCCCCUAGUUCUCACGGCUGUGCCUAGGACCGGGGAACUGCUGCAAGAGGCGCGGGCCAGGCAGCCAGGGGCUGGGCCCCCCGCAGCGAGGGGCUGGCGGCUGGGGGGCGGAGCGCAGCGCAGCGCCGGUGGCGGGAAAGGGGCGGAGAUGAAGGCUCGGGUUGGGCUGGUCGCUGGACCCAGUUAACAGAACCUGUAAGCCAGGUGGACGAGCGGUCCUCCAGGCUCCAGAGAAGCUCUGCCCGCUUCUCUGAGGAAGCGAGGCCGCGUGUGGGGUCCCGUGGUCUGCGGGUCGUCGCCUUCUCAGGCUGCUGGAGACAGCGCACCAGCGGGCGCACCCUGCGUUCAGGUGGCAGUGUCGAAGCCAAAAGCUUCCAGAAGUGGUUUUUGAAAAAUAAGAGUUGAAUGUACAUGAGUAAGCAAACACAGGAAUCCGAAAAACCACAGCCCAUGACAGAUCAAGCCUAGUACAUUUUCAGCACUUCCGGAGAGUUGUUGCCCAGUCUGUUCAAUAUUCAUCUGGACUCCAUCAUGAAGGAAUGAAACGUAGAUAAGUCGUUAGAAAACUUUUGUAGGAACAGUGCCUCGGGUGAUCAGAACAAAGCCGUUUUAUAAUCAGAUUUACCAAGCUGAGAAGAAGGAGUUUUAGCAAACGGAAGCUGCAGUGUUCUAUCACCAGGAAACAGUGCGUUUUCCAGAAUCGAGGCAUGUGAUUUUUAUCAACAGCUUUAUUGAAGAAUGAUAAAGAAAGAACAACACAUACUUCAUGUGGGAAGUUUGAUGAGUGUGGAUAUAUGUAAACACCUAUGAUGCCAUAACCCAAUUCCCCAUAAUCAAGAGAUGGUCUGUCCACAAUGAACAGAAGUUUCAGUGAAAUGUGAGGAGGCACCUUGAAGCACCCUUCUUCCAGGCCAUAAAAUGUGGGCGGAAAAAAUGAACUCUGUUUUCCUGAAUGCUACUCAAGUUCCUUUGUCACACAACUCAUAGCAUGGUCAUCUAAUUUUUAGCAGAGACAAGAUUUGAUACAGGCGGGCCUCCUAUGAUUUCAGCUAGCCAUGGUGUAUCAAGUUGCAGUGAGACUAGAUGUCUCCUCUUCUAUUAAGGCUGGACAAGGCAAUCAGGU